ACUACCUUGGCAGAAUUAGUGCGUCGGAUUUAGGAUCCGUUAAUAUAGUGAUUACUAUAGGUAGUA
RNAcentral lists this transfer RNA (66 nucleotides) under Macrobrachium equidens. RNAcentral describes it as "tRNA-Leu". RNAcentral also lists the same sequence under 1 other name. The record is from RNAcentral. Lineage: Eukaryota; Metazoa; Arthropoda; Malacostraca; Decapoda; Palaemonidae.